GCUAGAAAGGUCAUUCCCCCGUCGUAAAGAGAGUGCUUUCGCCGCCAUCCCGCUCCUGGGCGAGCUCUUCAGGGCUCUGACCACGCAGGCGAGGAUAUCGACGGUUGCCCACCCACCACACCCGUGAGGUGUUCAGCGAUGGACUCCGACGACGAGGAGGCGUUCGCGGCUCUAAUGGAGGAGGAAGCCGACGCCGACGCCAACGACGAAGAGCACCUCAUGAUCCUCGCCGAUCUGACCAGCCUGUUCGUGGAGAAUGCAAAGCCGCGGCGAUGUGACCCGGCGUCGGGCCACCGCAAGAGCAAGCAGGGGAAUCGAAUAUGGAUUGUAUUCCUCAGUAUGCAGGGUCCUUUUGCAGUCGUUGAUCAUUAGCUACGGACAACAUGAGCAACCGGUGCAUUAUUAAGUAGUUAUUUCCGUGACAUGGUUUCACGUCUAGAAAGAAUAUUCUUCUACAUGGAACAAACUCUUUCCAUUCUACUAACACAUGAAUAGCUGCCAAAUGUAUAACCGACACCCUCGCAUUCCGGCACAUGGGCUCAACCAAACACGCUCUUGAUUUGUCUACCAAGCACAUCCUCCAUCAGGAAGAAUGUAUGAACGGGCACGAUCUGUGUUUCUGUACAUAGUCCAUCUUAUACAAUUAUAAAAAUUGCUGUGGCGACU
RNAcentral lists this long non-coding RNA (666 nucleotides) under Hordeum vulgare. RNAcentral's name for it is "long non-coding RNA (HVUL_LNC013394)". The record is from RNAcentral. Lineage: Eukaryota; Viridiplantae; Streptophyta; Magnoliopsida; Poales; Poaceae.